RNAcentral lists this ribosomal RNA (798 nucleotides) under Triticum aestivum (bread wheat). RNAcentral describes it as "partial small subunit ribosomal RNA". Lineage: Eukaryota; Viridiplantae; Streptophyta; Magnoliopsida; Poales; Poaceae. The record is from RNAcentral.
AUGGCUGGAGUAAAGAAGUUUUUUCUUUGGAUCAAUUUUCUUGUCAGUGGGAUCAGUGUGGGAGCUUAUGUGGCGCCCAUGUUCAGCUUAAUUGCUCUCAUGGAAUGGGAUUCAAUUUAUGAAUGCUUUGUCCCUGAAUCUCUCAUGCUUGAGGGACUCAACUUUAUUUUCAUGAUUGCGUACUACUGCUUUGUUACUGGGACAGGAGCUUCGUUUGAUGGCAUAUUAACAGCAGGAUUUGGUUUAUCUUUCAACUUUUGCUGGCUGUUUCUGUAUGUGGUUCAUUGUGCGAAUACUCUUCAGCAUCCACGACUUGUGAUGGCAUCUGUUCCAACAGCAUUCUUGGUGAUCGUCACAGUAAUGUUUGGUACAAUCCAGUGGGGAUACAAGGCUGAACAUUCGGGGGCGAGAGGGGCUCUUAUUGCCGCUGUGCUUACAACCAUACUCUUCUCACCAUCGAUGAGCGUGCUCAACCGGCUCUAUUCCUCAAUCCCUGAUGAUCCGUGGGCACCAUUUCUCAUCAAGAUGAUCUUAUCUGGACUAAGUGUAGUCACUUCUGGGUACAGUGCAUGGAAUGGGACACAACAAGGCUACGCCGAGCAUGAAGACCUCAAGUAUCUUCUUGUGUUCAACUAUGUGUCAGUGGGCAUUGGUAUUUGCCAGAUAGUUGUUCGUCUUGUUGGUCCAAGGAUGGUUGCGGACCAUGUGAAGCGCAUCUGUAGGAAGCUGUGGCAGAUUGUUAAGCGCAUCUGUAAGAGGCUGUGGCAGAUUGUUAAGCGCAUCUGUGGAAGGACCUGA